GUGCUGNGAGGUGUUGGGGUAAGUCCCAUAACGAGCGCAACCCCUAUCCUUAGUUGCCAGCACAUCAUGGUGGGGUCUCUAAAUAGACUGCCUGCGCAAGCAGUGAGGAAGGAGGGUGAUGAGGUCAGGUCAUCAUGGCCCUUACGCCCAGGUCUACACGCGCGCUACAGUGGCGGGCACANAGGGGAGAUACCUGGGUAACGCAAGCAAAUCCUUUAAACACGUUCCCAUUUCGGAUGGGAUUUUGCAAUUGGCCUCCUGAAGGUGGGAAU
Molecule: ribosomal RNA, 272 nt
Filed under: uncultured bacterium
Lineage: Bacteria
Description: partial 16S ribosomal RNA
Rfam family: Bacterial small subunit ribosomal RNA
Source: RNAcentral